UCCAGAACUUGAGUGGGAUUUUAGACUACCAUUAGUUAAGAGUAUCAAUGUUAGUGGUCACAAGUAUGGACUUGUGUAUGCUGGUGUUGGUUGGGUAAUUUGGAGGAGCAAAGAGGACUUGCCUGAAGAACUUAUCUUUCAUAUCAAUUACCUUGGAGCUGAUCAACCUACCUUUACCCUCAAUUUCUCCAAAGGUAUAUAUAUGAUGAUUCACUAAUCCUCUUCCAUUAUCUUUCUUUCUACAUAUUAUGAUUAAAAGCUAAAAUUUGUCCUUUCACUUGUAGGUUCUAGUCAAAUUAUUGCUCAAUACUAUCAACUCAUUCGCUUGGGUUUUGAGGUGAGUUGAAUAUGUUCUAUUAUGAUCUAUAUAAAUGACCAAUGUUGCAUGAAAACAGAAACGAAGAAAUGUAGAAAAUAAUAUGAAAAAACGACAUUUAAAAUAUAAUUUUACAUUGAAAAAUGAUAUUUUACAUGAACUUAUGGCUAAGAGUUUCCAUGCAUCAUAUAAUAUGAUACUACCUAACUACAAUAAAGAUCUUGCGAACAUUGUUCUGUACUUGCAGGGAUACAAAAACAUAAUGGAAAAUUGCAGAGACAACAUGGUGGUUCUCAAGGAAGGACUAGAGAAGAUUGGUCGUUUCGAGGUUGUUUCAAAGGACAUGGGAGUGCCACUGGUAGCGUUUUCCUUAAAAGAUAAUAGCAACCAUAACGAGUUUGAAAUUUCUGAAAUGCUAAGGAGGUUUGGUUGGAUUGUGCCUGCAUAUACAAUGCCAGCUGAUGCUGAACAUGUAACUGUGUUGCGUGUUGUCAUAAGAGAGGACUUCUCGCGAACACUCGCUGAGCGUCUUGUACAGGACAUAGAAAGAGUUCUGCAUGAACUUGAUACCUUGCCAUCCAGGAUAAAUGCAAAGAACGGUGACACUGUUCCUGCAGUCCCGACGAAGAAGAGUGAGUUGGAGACACAAAGGGAGA
RNAcentral lists this long non-coding RNA (972 nucleotides) under Jatropha curcas. RNAcentral describes it as "long non-coding RNA (JCUR_LNC001570)". The record is from RNAcentral. Lineage: Eukaryota; Viridiplantae; Streptophyta; Magnoliopsida; Malpighiales; Euphorbiaceae.